RNAcentral lists this ribosomal RNA (404 nucleotides) under uncultured bacterium. RNAcentral's name for it is "partial 16S ribosomal RNA". It matches the Rfam family "Bacterial small subunit ribosomal RNA", at positions 28 to 526 of the family's 1533-position model. The record is from RNAcentral.
GACGAACGCUGGCGGCGUGCUUAACACAUGCAAGUCGAGCGGAGCGGCGAACGGGUGAGUAAAGCGUGAGUAACUGCCCCCCUCUCUGGGAUAACAGAUGGAAACGACUGCUAAUACCGGAUAGUGGGGGAUGACUCGCGUCCUAUCAGCUUGUUGGGGGGGUAGUGGCCUACCAAGGCGACGAAGGGUAGCCGGCCUGAGAGGGAGACCGGCCACAUUGGGCUGAGAGACGGCCCAAACUCGUACGGGGGGAAGCAGUGGGGAAUAUUGCGCAAGGGGGGAAACCCUGAUGCAGCAACGCGCGUGCGUGAUGACGGCCGGCGGGUUGUAAACCGCUUCCAUCCAUGACUCGGUAUUUGCAGAAGAAGCACCUGCUAACUACGUGCCAGCAGCCGCGGUAAUUC